UGGGAUGUAGCUCAGUGGCAAAGCACUUGCUUAGCAAGUGCAACAUCCUGGGUUCAAUCCCCAGUAUCAAAA
Molecule: non-coding RNA, 72 nt
Organism: Dipodomys ordii (Ord's kangaroo rat)
Lineage: Eukaryota; Metazoa; Chordata; Mammalia; Rodentia; Heteromyidae
Source: Rfam